RNAcentral lists this long non-coding RNA (296 nucleotides) under Elaeis guineensis (African oil palm). Its description in RNAcentral is "long non-coding RNA (EGUI_LNC068633)". Lineage: Eukaryota; Viridiplantae; Streptophyta; Magnoliopsida; Arecales; Arecaceae. The record is from RNAcentral.
GGGCCCCUUGAGUUAGCUUGGUCUACAUACUGGGAUUAAAGUAGUGUCUGCUGAAAUUUGAAAUCUCUUCUAUUAUAUAAGCCUCCAUAAUAGAACCUUCAACUCGGGCCUUAUUUUUUAUUUUUUUCUUGAGUCUGUGCAUGUAUCUUUCAAAUGGAUACAUCCACCUGUAUUGCAUUGGACCCCCCACCCUAGCUUCAUAUGCCAGAUGAAUCAUGAGGUGCUCCAUGGAGUCAAAGAAGCUGGAAGGGAAUAUCUUCUCCAACUUGCAUAUGAUCUCUACAUUGCUAGCCUCA